GGCUACAGCCAUGACACCCUGAACAAGCUCCAUCCCGUCUGAUCUCGGAAGCUAAGCAGGGUCGGGCCAGGUUAGUACUUGGAUGGGAGACCACCUAGGAAGACCAGGUGCUGUUGGUG
This 119-nucleotide ribosomal RNA is filed under the name Pteropus alecto (black flying fox). The record is from RNAcentral. Lineage: Eukaryota; Metazoa; Chordata; Mammalia; Chiroptera; Pteropodidae.